Long non-coding RNA from Lethenteron reissneri (Far Eastern brook lamprey), 2606 nucleotides. RefSeq lists it as uncharacterized. Lineage: Eukaryota; Metazoa; Chordata; Hyperoartia; Petromyzontiformes; Petromyzontidae. The record is from RefSeq and is a predicted model, not a curated record.
CUCGGCCGGCUUUGUCUCCCCAGUGCCGAUGUGUGUUUUUUUUUUUACACACCGCACGAGGUACUCGUUUAAGGCCGAGUCGACUUAGGGGAGGGUCCCACGACAUUUCGUCGAAUUUGGCUCGCCGGGUUCCCUAACAGCGUGCUAACCGCUGCACCACCGCUCCCCCGUCAUCCACAUAUAUAUACACAGACACACAGCCGCACACAGUCACACGCAGAAGUCACACGCAGAAGUCACACACGCCCAUUUGGAAGAAGGAGCGACGCAGCCUGGCCUCUGCGAGUAUUGCAUCGCGACCGCGACCUCCAGCAAGCGACGGUGGAGAGAUACAACGCACACGGAGGGCACAAGAUGAAUCCCAGCAAGAGCGCUUCCUCCGGCGUCGGGGCCGACGCCAAAGAGAGCAAGAGCGCCGGACACGAAGGGGUGGAGGUGGAGCACAUGGACGGGGAGCCCGCCGCUAACGGAGGCCCCGAGAAGUUUUUCGGCCUCUCGACGAAGGAGUGGGGCCUGGUGGCCCUGGGGAUCGUGGCGGUCGUCGGACUCGCCGUGUACGUCAAGCGGCGCGACUGAGACCACCACAAUCCUGCCGCUCCCACCCCCUCCUCCCUCCCUCCCUCCCACACCGACCUCCCGAACGAGAUGCAAUCGUCCGGAGACGCGGAGACCGCGCCACGCACGCACGAGACGGCCACGCAUCGUCGUCAGUCGCCGUCACCAUCGUCGCCCCAGUUGUCAACACUUAGCGGAGUAGCUGCGGCAACGUUGCCCUCCACCGAUCGUUAUUGGAGUGCCUCGGCCGGUGCGAAUGGCAAUGGGUUUACACGGAAUGUGUGCGUGCGUGCGGCUCACAAGCAGCGGGAAGGCACGACAGGCUUCGUCCAUAAUAGAGGGGGUUUUUGUGUUGGGUUCGAUCGCGUAAAUAAUAAAUGUGUCGUUAAACCCGCCACCACCCGACACAGCCAAUUAGUAAGGUUUGUCACGUAAACAAACGUGGCAAUUCGUUACUCGUUCAGCACACCGGUUGUGUGUUGGAGAGUUAAACACACGACGACAUUUACAAUUCGAGUAGCGUGACGUUUCGCCGGUAAUUACAACAACAAGCAACUUCUUCUUGGUUCUUUCGGUAAAGUCACGUAGAAGGGAAAUAAUAAAUAAUAAAAAUAAAACAUAAUAAAAUACAAUUCUCACGACGUUUCGGCCACAACGCAAGCAGCCGUCCUCAGGUGAAGAACAGGUCUGUCGGAAAGACAGCGUCUGAAUGAAUUGUAUUAUUUCCCUUCUACGUGACUUUACCGAAAGAACCAAGAAGAUGAAUCCCUGCAGUCACGAAUGCUUUAAAACGAAAUUUAACAAGCAACUUCAUCAGCCAGAAUUGUGCAGAAAUCCUCCUGCUGUUUCAGCUUUAACGACACAUUUAUAUUCGUGCGAUCUAACCCAAAAAAAACCUCUAUCAUGGAAAAUAUUGGUCACGAACGCCUACUGCGCGUUGAGCAGGCAUCAUCACCUUAGUAAAAAUAUCAUUCGUAACACGCACAAUUGAAGGAAUAUAAUUGGCCGUGAUUCGGUGGCACGGAGCCAAAGUUGGUGUCGCUCAGGCGAGAGACCACGGCAUACGAUCGCCACGUCGCGUGUACGACGUUCUCAGCCUUGUCCACACCACCAACUCAAGAGCUGAACGUUUGGCUGCAUUGCUGUGUGUGUGCCUGCACGCACUUACCUGCUCUGUAGUGGGGGUUGUCUUCAUUUACAGAGGGUGUUGGAUCUGAGUAAAGCCUCUUGACGAUUAAUCGAUUAAUUGGUAAAUUUUCAUUGUUAAAACUCAUGAUCCAUGCAUCAAAUGGACCACGUAAGAAUGAGUAGCAGACCAAAAGUAAAGGUAUAAUGAUGCAUCACUUAAUAACAAUCGCGUCUGUAAGAACUGAUGUUUCACAAUUCGUAUACAGUACAGCACUGCUUAUCUUGUUGCUGAUGGGUUUAAUGUGACCCCUGCAGCCACUAUGGGUGCAAUGUAAAAAAAUUAAUUGAUUAUUGAAUCUAAUCAGGACUCUGAUUCGCAACAAUCCAUCACUCAAUUGAACCCCCCUUUUAAAUAAUGAUAUAAAAGGUAUACAUAUCAACAUUUAAUGUAUCAGUCUCAUCAUGUAGCUGUGGGCUGAUAAACUGAUGACACAAUUGUCACAGACAGAAGAACUGCUAUUCAUUUUCAUUGGGUCUCAUCAGCAAGAUGUGGCCUCACAAUCCAGUGCCCCGUGUGUGCGCACGCUGGGGAGAGAGACAUCCCCACACAGCCAAUGUCCACCGCCAAAUAUUCGGCCAAAAUUGCUCUGCUUUAUUUUAUCAUUGCGCAGAAAAGAAUGAUAAAAAAGUGAAGUUGACACGGGGUAUCCCGGCAUACUUCCUGUGUGCAUUCUACACCGGCGAUGUCACGUGACAGAUAGCCCAGCUGUUAAGUCAGAGGUUGACCUCGGUGUCUGAGCAGUAAUCCCCGUCAAAUAGUUACACACGCAUUUAACACACCGCAAAAUAUUGUAAAUUGUCGUAGCUACGAACACUCACUUAACCCAAGUCCACUGUAGACCAAUAAAUGGAAGUGUAUUCUA